Non-coding RNA from Cucurbita moschata (crookneck pumpkin), 82 nucleotides. The record is from the annotation of a RefSeq genome assembly. NCBI's taxonomy places the organism in Eukaryota, Viridiplantae, Streptophyta, Magnoliopsida, Cucurbitales, Cucurbitaceae.
GUCGAUAUGUUCGAGUGGUUAAGGGGACAGACUUGAAAUCUAUUAGGCUUCCCCUGCGCAGGUUCGAACCCUGCUGUUGACG